CUGAACUGUUUUCUCCGUUUUUUUCAAUCUCAUAAUCAAACUGGGCAUGGUCCAGCUUCGUGUGCAUGAUCCUUUUCAGAAUCUCACGUUAACAAAGCACAUGUACGGUAAUGAUACUGCAACAAUCUAACAUUUCCAAGACCACGAGGGGAUACAUCUGGAUCGAAGCACCAACACAUUACAUAGAAAUUACACAGCAGGGCACACCGGCACACACCAGUUCAUGGCUACUCUGCUCGCGGCAACAUGCAUCCACGACACACGGUUACAAACUGUGUAGACGAUUCCUAAACACCAUAAAUGACUCGAGACACAGGCACAACUCGAUCUAGCCCACACUCGAUCUAGCUUCAAAUACCAAACCAGUAGCAUUAUUUUAUUACUCUCAAUCAGCCAUGAUGCAUUCCUCGCACAGGACGACGCCUCAGUUAAU
Molecule: long non-coding RNA, 433 nt
Filed under: Sorghum bicolor (sorghum)
Lineage: Eukaryota; Viridiplantae; Streptophyta; Magnoliopsida; Poales; Poaceae
Description: long non-coding RNA (SBIC_LNC005750)
Source: RNAcentral